Molecule: ribosomal RNA, 468 nt
Filed under: uncultured bacterium
Lineage: Bacteria
Description: partial 16S ribosomal RNA
Rfam family: Bacterial small subunit ribosomal RNA
Source: RNAcentral
GACGAACGCUGGCGGCGUGCUUAACACAUGCAAGUCGAACGGAAAGGCCCUGCUUUUGUGGGGUGCUCGAGUGGCGAACGGGUGAGUAACACGCGAGUAACCUGCCCUUGACUUUGGGAUAACUUCAGGAAACUGGGGCUAAUACCGGAUAGGAGCUCCUGCUGCAUGGUGGGGGUUGGAAAGUUUCGGCGGUUGGGGAUGGACUCGCGGCUUAUCAGCUUGUUGGUGGGGUAGUGGCUUACCAAGGCUUUGACGGGUAGCCGGCCUGAGAGGGUGACCGGCCACAUUGGGACUGAGAUACGGCCCAGACUCCUACGGGAGGCAGCAGUGGGGAAUAUUGCACAAUGGGCGGAAGCCUGAUGCAGCAACGCCGCGUGCGGGAUGACGGCCUUCGGGUUGUAAACCGCUUUCGCCUGUGACGAAGCGUGAGUGACGGUAAUGGGUAAAGAAGCGCCGGCUAACUACGUG